GAUGAACGCUAGCGGCAGGCCUAACACAUGCAAGUCGAGGGGUAGUUGUCUUCGGACAAUGAGACCGGCGCACGGGUGCGUAGCGCGUAUGCAAUCUACCUUAUACUAAGGGAUAGCCCAGAGAAAUUUGGAUUAAUACCUUAUAGUUAAUAGAGUUGGCAUCGACUUUAUUAUAAAGAUUAAUUGGUAUAAGAUGAGCAUGCGUCCCAUUAGUUAGUUGGUAAGGUAACGGCUUACCAAGACGAUGAUGGGUAGGGGUCCUGAGAGGGAGAUCCCCCACACUGGUACUGAGACACGGACCAGACUCCCACGGGAGGCAGCAGUGAGGAAUAUUGGUCAAUGGGCGCAAGCCUGAACCAGCCAUGCCGCGUGCAGGAUGAAGCAUCUAUGGUGUGUAAACUGCUUUUGUACGGGAAGAAAAAAAGCUACGUGUAGCUUACUGACGGUACCGUAAGAAUAAGGAUCGGCUAACUCCGUGCCAGCAGCCGCCGUAA
This 494-nucleotide ribosomal RNA is filed under the name uncultured bacterium. RNAcentral describes it as "partial 16S ribosomal RNA". It matches the Rfam family "Bacterial small subunit ribosomal RNA", at positions 28 to 523 of the family's 1533-position model. The record is from RNAcentral.